Molecule: ribosomal RNA, 496 nt
Filed under: uncultured bacterium
Lineage: Bacteria
Description: partial 16S ribosomal RNA
Rfam family: Bacterial small subunit ribosomal RNA
Source: RNAcentral
GAUGAACGCUGGCGGCGUGCCUAAUACAUGCAAGUCGAGCGAACAGAUGAGGAGCUUGCUCCUCUGACGUUAGCGGCGGACGGGUGAGUAACACGUGGAUAACCUACCUAUAAGACUGGGAUAACUUCGGGAAACCGGAGCUAAUACCGGAUAAUAUAUUGAACCGCAUGGUUCAAUAGUGAAAGACGGUUUUGCUGUCACUUAUAGAUGGAUCCGCGCCGCAUUAGCUAGUUGGUAAGGUAACGGCUUACCAAGGCAACGAUGCGUAGCCGACCUGAGAGGGGGAUCGCACACAAGGGAACGGAGACACGGUCAAGACUCCCAGGGGGGGGAAAGGGGGGAAAUUUGCCGAAAGGGGGGAAAGCCUGCGGGAGAAACGCCGCGUGAGUGAAGAAGGUUUUCGAAUGGAAAAACUCUGUUUUUAGGGAAGAAAAAAUGUGAAAGUAACUUUGCACGUCUGGACGGUACCAAAUAAAAAAGCCCCGGUAAACUACGG